Long non-coding RNA from Pipra filicauda (Wire-tailed manakin), 344 nucleotides. RefSeq lists it as uncharacterized. The record is from RefSeq and is a predicted model, not a curated record. The transcript has 3 exons. Lineage: Eukaryota; Metazoa; Chordata; Aves; Passeriformes; Pipridae.
UCAACUACUGCCUUCUCCAAUUCCAUAUUCAUUGGGCAUUGGAGUGGGGAGCAGAAAGAGUAAUGCAGUUAGUGUGCAAGAGACACAGUGAAGGAGAACAAAGAAACCAUGAUAUCAGAUACAUUACAAGCACAGUCAACUCUCGCUGCCGUUAGGAUAUUAAUUAUUAGUUCCUUACAAAGACAUUACAUAUAGUGUAUGCCAGGCUAUAUAUAGUUCCUUCUCCAACCACCUAGAAGAUUUCAGUCACGAAGGUCAUCUUUGUUCUCUUCACUAGUUGCCAAGUUGUCAUUACCCCAUGCCUCAUCAUUCACCCAUUUUCUGAAUUCAACUCAGCACUUUGU